GGCCCAGUCGUCAAAUGGUUAAGACAUAAUGUUUUCACCAUUAUAACACGGGUUCGAUUCCCGUCUGGGCUA
This 72-nucleotide transfer RNA is filed under the name Imshaugia aleurites. Its description in RNAcentral is "tRNA-Glu". It matches the Rfam family "tRNA". Rfam says of the family: Transfer RNA (tRNA) molecules are approximately 80 nucleotides in length. Their secondary structure includes four short double-helical elements and three loops (D, anti-codon, and T loops). The record is from RNAcentral. Lineage: Eukaryota; Fungi; Ascomycota; Lecanoromycetes; Lecanorales; Parmeliaceae.